Molecule: ribosomal RNA, 497 nt
Filed under: uncultured bacterium
Lineage: Bacteria
Description: partial 16S ribosomal RNA
Rfam family: Bacterial small subunit ribosomal RNA
Source: RNAcentral
GAUGAACGCUGGCGGCGUGCCUAAUACAUGCAAGUCGAGCGAACAGACGAGGAGCUUGCUCCUCUGACGUUAGCGGCGGACGGGUGAGUAACACGUGGAUAACCUACCUAUAAGACUGGGAUAACUUCGGGAAACCGGAGCUAAUACCGGAUAAUAUAUUGAACCGCAUGGUUCAAUAGUGAAAGACGGUUUUGCUGUCACUUAUAGAUGGAUCCGCGCCGCAUUAGCUAGUUGGUAAGGUAACGGCUUACCAAGGCAACGAUGGGUAGCCGACCUGAGAGGGUGAUCGGCCACCCUGGAACUGAGACACGGACCAGACUCCUACGGGAGGCAGCAGUAGGGAAUCUUACGCAAUGGGCGAAAGCCUGACGGAGCAACGCCGCGUGAGUGAUGAAGGUCUUCGGAUCGUAAAACUCUGUUAUUAGGGAAGAACAAAUGUGUAAGUAACUAUGCACGUCUUGACGGUACCUAAUCAGAAAGCCACGGCUAACUACGUG